UCUCCUGCAUUUUUUUCCCCUCCAUUUUUCUCCACUUUCCCAAUCCCCACCAUUCAUAAUGAGUGGUGGGGAUUGAAAAAAAAUGGAGACUCCCAUGUACGCUUGCGGGCAUGGGUGAUCUUGAUUGAAGCCUUGAACAUGAUGGAUAGUUUGAUGACUCGAGUACGUCUUCUCUGUCUGUUUCUUCCUCAUCCCCUACCUUUCCCAUCUUGUGAGGCCAGCCAACCUUAAACAUGAAGCUCUUGGCGAGGACAGGUGAAUUUAUACCAUAUCACAAGCGACGAUAACACUUUGAGUUCCACUGUCAUAUUCUUCAGGAAAUAGUGUUGAAUCUCAUUCCUGCCGAAUGUAGAGUCAAGCUCUGUUACGGUGAAUCCAUCAACAGAAGGGUAUGCUGCUGCUGCUUCAUUAGUGUAUGGACACUCAAAUCUAGGGUCCAGUGGAGCGGAAAAUGAAGGUAAUAGAGGAUUCAAAGGAGCUAAAUGUGGGAUCUCUUCAAAAGAAUCAAAACUCCAAUCAUUAUUGGGGAACAUCUCGCCCAAUCCAGAGGAAAAAGUGCUCCAAGUGUCUCUUCUUGGAGCUAGUAGUUCCUCCAGAAAACCGAGCUGAGUAAGCUCCAUCACUUGCCUUUUACGUCCCUCUUUCCUUCCUUUGUAUUAUAAAUGGGAAGGUGAAAUUAUGAUCCAGACAGAGGAAGGCUUGGUGAAUAAUAGAGAAUGAAGAUGUGGGGAGGUAUUUGUUUAAAUAAAACAAGGAAGGGAGCCCAUUUCUUUAUCUCCAGAAAACCAUCAUCAUUACAGAAUGAAUUACAGUAAAAAGUUGUGUAAUAGCACCUCGAGAUAGACUUUAGAUGUAAAUGGAAUCUAAUUUCUCUUUCUUGCUUU
Long non-coding RNA from Prosopis cineraria, 884 nucleotides. RefSeq lists it as uncharacterized. The transcript is spliced from 2 exons. Lineage: Eukaryota; Viridiplantae; Streptophyta; Magnoliopsida; Fabales; Fabaceae. The record is from RefSeq and is a predicted model, not a curated record.